RNAcentral lists this long non-coding RNA (872 nucleotides) under Salmo salar (Atlantic salmon). Its description in RNAcentral is "lncRNA (ENSSSAG00000103101.1)". The record is from RNAcentral. Lineage: Eukaryota; Metazoa; Chordata; Actinopteri; Salmoniformes; Salmonidae.
UUGAAUGUCAUUGAGAAAACAGAGAAAGUUAAAGAUUUUUUUCACAAACAUCCUUUCUGAUUAAAAGUAAUCCUCGAAGUAAUCAUCUAGUUUUUCAAAAGUAUCGGUAAUCUGAUUAUAAUAUGUUUAUGUUUGCUGGUAACGUAAUGGAUUUCAGUUACCUUUUUACAUGUAAUCCGUUACUCCCCAACCCUGCACACCUGUCAGGUAGAUUGAUUAUAUUGGCAAAGGAGAAAUGCUCACUAACAGGGAUGUAAACAAAUGUGUUGUUCUGGGUGUGUAAGGGAGGCGAGAGUAGCUUGUGGUAACAGGCGCGCUUUAUUACGUUCCAACAAACGACAGCACAGAAUACACUAAACGUGCCAAAACACGGAACAUUAAUUAAAAAUUCAGGCGCAUGGUAAAUUCCCACAUAACAUACAACAAUUUCACACAAAGACAUAGAGGGGAACAGAGGACUAAAUCCAUGCAGUGUGAUUAGGGAAUGAAAACCAGGUGUGUAUGGAACAAGACAAAACAAAUGGAAAUAUGAAAAAUGGAGCAGCGAUGGCUAGAAAGCUGGUGACGUCGAUCGCCGAACGCCGCCCAAACAAGGAGAGGAGCUGACUUCAGCGGAAGUCGUGACAUUUGUGCACAACAUUUGAGAGAAAUAAGCUUUUUGUACGUAUGGAAAAUUUUGGGGAUUUUUUAUUUCAGCUCAUGAAACAUGGGACCAACACUUUACAUGUUGUGUUUAUAGUUUUGUUCAGUCUAAAUCAGAAGGGAGUAUGUUUUGAUGUGUCUGUCAUAUCUGAUAGAUAUAAGAAAGCUCAGGAAAAUUAUUAUAUAUUUUUUACAGUGGAAAUGCCCUAUUCACUACCAUUCAUUUUUCG